AUACUUACCUGGCGAGGGUGACCGCUCGAUCAACAAGGAGUGGCCCUGGCAUGGAGCACGACAUCGCACUCGGUCGCUGUGAAGUGUCAUGACCUGACGUCCUUAUGGGCGCGGGCCAAUCGCAUAAUUUCUGUAAGCGUGGUACUUGCGUUCGCGCAACACCACC
This is a small nuclear RNA of Guillardia theta CCMP2712, 166 nucleotides long. It matches the Rfam family "U1 spliceosomal RNA". From Rfam's summary of the family: U1 is a small nuclear RNA (snRNA) component of the spliceosome (involved in pre-mRNA splicing). Its 5' end forms complementary base pairs with the 5' splice junction, thus defining the 5' donor site of an intron. Lineage: Eukaryota; Cryptophyceae; Pyrenomonadales; Geminigeraceae. The record is from Rfam.